AGUGAUUGCCACUUGCACAACCAACCAGGGUCGGGGACAAACUGCAACAGAGGGUCUAACAUCCAAUAAAUACUGAUUCAAAGGGUGAAUGGUGAAUGUAUGUAAAAGAACUUUCUAAAGUGCAAGUGCUACAAAUGGAAGCCAUUAUGUUUACUGUACUUGAAUUGAUGACACAUACCUUUGAACUAUGAUGAAGUUAUGGACAACAGAGAAAACAGUUUCUCUAUGAAUGUGUAACUCAAAGAAUGAUUUGAAGGCUCCCACUGUGUGCUAGGAAUUGUGUGAAAUACAAAGGUAUUUGCCUAAACUGGAACUUAAGCUGCAGCCAUUUCUUUGUGGAUUUGUCUAAAAACCUAAGUAAGCAUUACAGUCUUCAGAAAAUAAAGAAUGAGAAGCAAGGAAGAAAGAACAUUCAUCUUGGAAGGACCCAAAAAGUACUUUGAAAUUUUAAAGGAAUGUAACGAUAGCUGCUAAAACCACCUUUGUCGCCAUAAUGGAUGAAGCACUUCAGAUUUAACUGAUUGAUGAUACUUAACAAGAGCUUCUACGAUACAUAUGAAAGUAUUGCCAUGUGCUGAAAGGAAAGCAUUGUCGAUGAAGUUCUAUUUUCUAAAAUGUCUGCCUGUAACACUUUUACUGAACACGUUUGGAAACCUGGUGAAUGCAAGAACUGCUUUAAACCAAAAAGCUUGCACCAACCCCCUCCAGACCCGGAAAAGAUACCCAUUAACCAUGGCCAUGUGAAAACUAAUGCCAAUCACAGUAACAACCACCAUAUUGGGAACACCGGAAAUUUCCGGCCUCCUGUGGCUAAAAAACCCACUAUAGCUGUGAAGCCCACUAUGAUGGUAGCAGAUGGACAAAGUGUAUAUGGUGAGUUUAGCAUCCAAGGACACUGUGAGAACAAACCUGCCAUCAUAGAGAGGAACCAAAACAGGACAGCCUUGAAUCAGAAACCACUAAAUAAUAAUAAUAAUAAUAAUGAAGAUGAUAUUGAAGGAGUUAGCCAUGUUUCUAAAACUUUUGGCAAUAAUGAUAGUGCAAAGAAGAUAUCAAAUAACAAUAAUGGACUAACUGAAAUGUUGAAGGAAAUAGCAGGCUUGGAUACUACCCCUCAGAUAAGAGUAAAUGAAACCAAAGCCAGAGAAAUAUUCUUAGGAAGAAUAAAUGACUGCUAUAAACGAUCAUUGGAAAGAAAGCUUCCACCAAGUUGUAUGAUGUGUGGGAUAAAGGAUACUCAAGGAAAGCACAUUAUUCUGAGUGGGAGCACAGAAGUUAUCAGUAAUGAAGGGGGCCGGUUCUGUUACCCAGAGUUUUCUAGUGGUGAGGAAAGUGAGGAAGAUGCACUUUUUAGUAACAUGGAGGAGGAACAUGAGAGCUGGGAUGAGAGUGAUGAAGAGCUGUUGGCCAUGGAAAUUCGUAUGAGAGGGCAACCUCGCUUUGCCAACUUUAGGGCAAACACUUUGUCUCCUGUUCGAUUUUAUGUGGACAAAAAAUGGAAUACUGUUCCUCUGCGAAAUAAGUCUCUACAGAGAAUCUGUGCUGUAGACUAUGAUGACAGUUAUGAUGAAAUCCUGAAUGGUUAUGAAGAGAAUUCUGUGGUCUCCUAUGGACCAGGAAGCAUUCAGAGUAUGGUGUCAUCUGACUCCACAUCACCAGAUUCUUUAACAGAAGAAUCACAUUCUGAGACAGCCAAUAGUUUAUCCCAGAAGAUCCAUAUUGGGGGAAUACCACAUGGUACCCCAGGACAUUCUGAGGACAUGAAGGAAAGUGAGCCCAAUUAUGAACGUCUGACUGGUAACAGUCAGGAGAAGGAUUCAUCACAAGUAUCCAGAAGCUCAGUAAAAGUUCCAGAGACACACAAAGCAGUCCUUGCUCUCCGAUUAGAAGAGAAAGAUGGCAAGAUUGCUGUACAAACUGAGAAGCAAGACAGUAAAGCCUCUACAGAUACUGCUGGACAAGCAGUAAUCAUAAACCUCAUUCCUGUACAAGAACAAGCGAAGCCUUACCGCAUUGUGAAUCUCGAACAGCCGUUGUGCAAGCCAUAUACUGUUGUAGACGUGUCAGCAGCCAUGGCCAGUGAGCACCUCGAGGGCCCUGUUAACAGCCCCAAGACAAAAAGUGCAUCUUCUACGCCAAACUCUCCAGUGACAUCACCUAUAUCAACAUCAGGAAGAAUAAGUGCCCAUUUCCAAAAAUCCAGUGCAGUUCGCUAUCAGGAAGUAUGGACUUCUAGUACCAGUCCACGACAAAAGAUACCUAAGGUGGAAUUAAUUAGUGGUGGAACUGGACCAAAUGUUCCCCCACGGCAAAACUGUCACAAAUCAGCACCUACUUCACCCAUAGCUGCAAAUGUUUCCUCCAAAACCAUCCCUGUUAAGUCACCUAAUUUGUCAGAAAUAAAAUUUAAUAGUUAUAACAAUGCUGGUAUGCCUCCUUUUCCGAUUAUCAUUCAUGAUGAGCCAACUUAUGCUCGGAGUUCCAAAAAUGCUAUCAAAGUUCCCAUUGUUAUCAAUCCAAAUGCAUAUGACAAUCUAGCCAUUUAUAAAAGUUUUCUUGGAACAAGUGGAGAACUUUCAGUGAAGGAAAAAACUACAAGUAUGAUAAGCCAUACUUAUGAAGAAAUAGAAACUGCAAGCAAAGUAUCCGAUGACACCACUAGCACUCCCACUGAUUGUCCCCAAGCUAAAGAAUUUUCAAAUAGCACAGAAUGUAAAAGAGGCUCAGUGGCUCAGAAGGUUCAGGAGUUUAACAGCUGUCUUAAUCGAGGUCAGUCUUCACCACAGAGAAGCUGUAGUUCCAGCAAUAGCUCUCCAACAAAGAUCCAGAGAACCACUCAAGAACCUGUUAUCAGAGCUGAAGGCACUCAGGAGUCUCAGACGGUGGGCAGUGGCAGCAGCAACAGGGAGGAAGCAAGUAUAGUGCUUUCUCAGAUUGUGGCUUCUAUCCAUCCCCCACAGUCUCCUCCAGAAAUGCCCCAGUCAGGCCUUAAAGCUUGCAGUGUGGAAGAGCUUUAUGCAAUUCCUUCAGAUGUUGAUGCUGCUAAAAGUACACCAGUCCGGCCCAAAUCUCUUUUUACAUCUCAGCCCAGUGGUGAGCAUGAAGCACCUCAGACCACAGAAAAUCUCACCACUAAAGUACAGAAAGAUCCACUAGCCAAACCAGUCAUAAUCUCUCCCUCCAAAUUAGUGAUCCAGAGUGAGCCAUCACCUCCUUUUCCCCCACCACGAUCUACUUCCUCCCCUUACCAUGCAAGUAACCUUUUGCAGAAGCAUUUUACCAACUGGACCAAGCCGACCAGCCCUACCAGGUCAACAGAAGCUGAAUCAGUUUUGCACUCUGAAGGCAGCAGGCGGGCAGCUGAUGCGAAACCUAAACGCUGGAUAUCAUUUAAAAGUUUCUUCCGCCGUCGGAAAACAGAUGAGGAAGAUGACAAAGAGAAAGAACGAGAGAAAGGGAAACUGGUGGGCCUGGAUGGCACAGUUAUCCACAUGCUGCCACCUCCUCCAGUUCAGCGCCAUCACUGGUUCACAGAGGCAAAAGGAGAAUCCAGUGAGAAGCCAGCCAUCAUCUUCAUGUACAGAUGUGACCCUGCCGAAAGCCAGCUCAGUGUGGAUCAGAGUAAGGCAAGAGCAAACCAGUCAGCAGUCAUGGAGAAGGGUGGAACACAGGAUGGGUUACUACGAGACUCAGAGGAGAAGAAAAGGAGUCAUUCUUCUCCAUCACAGAUACCUAAAAAAAUUCUCAGUCAUGUGACCCAUGAAGUUACAGAAGAUUUUUCUCUUUGGGACCCAAGAACUAUUGUGAAGCAAGAUGGUGGAGGCUGCACACCAGCAUUGCCGCUACCUGAACUGGAAAGGGAAGAGGAAAAAGAAGACAUUUCAGAUCCUGUGAGCCUGAAUCCCUGUAGUGCAAUAUACAGCAACUUAGGGCAAUCUAGAGCAGCUAUGAUACCGCCCAAGCAACCACGGCAGCCUAAGGGGGCUUUGGAUGAUGCCUGUACCUUUCGUGGGAAAACAGACCAAGAAGCACCUAAUGCUUACCAAACUAAACCACCCCCACUGCCAAAGAAAAUGAUCAUAAGAGCCAACACAGAGCCAAUCUCCAAAGACCUCCAAAAAUCCAUGGAAACUAGUCUUUGUGUCAUGGCUAAUCCCACCUAUGAUAUCGAUCCCAACUGGGAUGCCAGCAGUGCUGGCUCUUCCAUCAGUUGUGAACUCAAAGGACUGGACAUUGAGUCUUGUGACUCCUUGGAGAGAUCUUUGCACAAGGAACAACCUGUCCCUUCAGCAGCAAACAGCAUCUCCAGCUUAACCACUCUCAGUAUUAAGGAUAGAUUUUCCAACAGCAUGGAGUCCCUAUCCAGUCAACAUGGUCCCUCUUGGAGACAGGGCCAAGGCAUCCAGAAGCCACAGAGACACGCACUUUAUCGAGGACUUGAGAAUCGGGAAGAAGUGGUGGGGAAGAUCCGAAGCCUUCAUACAGAUGCCUUAAAGAAAUUGGCUGUUAAAUGUGAAGACCUCUUCAUGUCUGGGCAGAAAGACAAGCUUCGUUUUGGGGUAGACAGCUGGUCAGACUUCAGGCUAACCAGUGACAAGCCAUGUUGUGAGGCAGGUGAUGCAGUUUAUUACACAGCUUCAUAUGCAAAAGAUCCACUUAAUAGUUAUGCAGUCAAGAUCUGUAAGAGCAAAGCUAAAGAAUCUCAGCAGUAUUAUCACAGCUUGGCUGUUCGGCAGAGUCUGGCUAUCCAUUUUAACAUCCAGCAGGACUGUGGUCAUUUCCUUGCUGAAGUCCCUAAGCGUCUGCUUCCUUGGGAGGAUCCUGAUGCCCCUGAAGAGGAAGAGGAUGAAGUGCAAGAGAAUGAACAAGAAAUGAAAGAAGAAAUUAAUGGGAAAAGCCCAGAGCACUGCUCUGAAACAGAAUCAUCCCAGAAAGAAAGCCAUGGAGUCAUUAGCAAGAAGCAGAGAAGUCAUGUUGUGGUCAUCACCAGAGAGGUUCCCUAUCUCACGGUGGCUGAUUUUGUGCAAGACUCUCUGGUUCAGCAUGGGAAACGCCCUGAUUUGUAUGAGAGGCAAGUGUGUUUGCUGCUCCUACAACUGUGCUCUGGCCUUCAGCACCUUAAACCCUACCACGUCACCCACUGCGAUCUACGUCUGGAGAACCUGCUGCUUGUCCACUACCAGCUCGGGGGAUCCACUCAGGGCCUUGGGCCUGCAGAACCCAAUCCCACCUCACCUUGUCUCAUGAGGCUUAUAGUGAGCAACUUCUCUCAGGCCAAGCAGAAGAGCCACCUGGUGGACCCCGAGAUCCUCCGGGACCAGUCCCGCCUUGCCCCAGAGAUCAUAACAGCCACCCAGUACAGAAAAUGUGAUGAGUUCCAGACAGGCAUCCUCAUCUAUGAAAUGCUACACCUGCCCAACCCCUUUGAUGAGAACCCAGAGCUGAAGGAGAAGGAGUACACUCGAGGAGAUCUGCCUCAAAUCCCACUUCGCUCCCCCUAUUCCUGGGGCCUUCAGCAGCUGGCUAGCUGCCUCCUGAACCCCAACCCUUCUGAGCGGAUUCUCAUUUCAGAUGCCAAAGGUGUCCUCCAGUGUCUGCUCUGGGGCCCCCGAGAAGAUCUCUUCCAUACUUUCACCACUACCCCUAGCCCAGUGCAGAAGAAUGCCCUGCUCCAAAACUGGCUAGACAUCAAGCGAACAUUGCUGAUGAUCAAGUUUGCUGAAAAGUCCCUAGACAGGGAGGGUGGGGUCAGCCUUGAGGAUUGGCUUUGUGCUCAAUAUUUGGCUUUUACAACUCCAGAUUCCCUCAGUUGUAUUGUGAAAAUCCUGCAACACCGUUAAUGUAUCCUGGUUGCUACUUUUAGUUCAUCUUCACCUUCUUCAAGUCACCCAUGCACUUCCCCAUUGUAGUACUCACACAGAAUUCAAGGAAAGAAGAGAGACAAACUGUUCAUCCUUGUCCACAAACAAAUGAGUCUACUCAGAAAGGUUAUCCACAACUCCAAAUCAAGUGAAAAGCUUAGUCUUAACUUCACAGAAAUUCAGUUGCACAAACAUUCAGUUACUUUCCACUGGAACACCUUUCACCCUACUUGUCCUGCAAAUGAAGGGAAAAAAUGAAGAUGAACAUUUUUGAAGGGACAGCUCCUUUGGUAUGAACUCAGUUAUGUCCACUUGCUCUAUAAUUCUGAAUUUCACCUGUCUUUUUAACAUCGAGUAUUUAUUUUUACUAGCAAUAGAUAAAUUUAACCAAUUCUUACUGUCAUUUACUAAGCUCUCAAGAAUAGCAGACUUUCUUCCUCUGUUACCAGGUAGAACUGCCAUCCUUUGUAUCCACCCAGUUUUGGUUCCAGGGGUAAUAGAAAGACAGCAAGAAAUCCCAUUCCUUGGGUCAUGGACCUUUUUUCAUUUCUAUUAUUAGUAAUUGGGUUCACUGCAUGGAGGAUGGCCCUAACAAUCUCCCCUCUGCUGCUACUGCCUGAUUCUCCUUCACCUCUACUUUGUCCCCACUUGCCAAUGAAGUUUGGGUUUAUUGACCACUUGUGGCCUGUUACAGAGCCUGACCCAUGGUGGUGUCACCCAUGCCUCAGCAGGGUGGAGUGCAGUUUAUAUCUUAUAAACAGCUGACAAUACAGAAGGAGAUGAUUUUUCUGUAUGUGCCAUUCUCUAGGGACCAUCAGGGAACAGUUUAAAGUACUGUUAUAUGAUUACUGUCAGAGUUGGCUGCCAGGGCUGGUAGUGCCUAGAACAUAGCUUUUUCCUUCAAUCCAUCAUUGGCCAGCUUACUUCUAUCAGUAGCCAGUAUUAACUAGCCUACCAAAUGCUGUAGACAGCUGCCCUGAAAGAAACAGCUGUCAGUCCACCUCUAAGAUCUCCUUAGAGGGCAUGUUGAAGAUAGUUAUUAUAAUGGCCAGAGGCAAGACAAGGGGAAAUGCCCAUGGAUAAGACUGCUGACCUCCAUCUCAGAAUAUUGACCUUUUCUGGAGAGACUGCCUCCCAGAUGCCCUGGCACAUUGCUCCUUAUGACUCUGAAAUGGCUCUGGAAGACAGCUCACAGGGAAUUUUUAUUGCUGAGGUGGGUAGCUGAAAGCUGUUCAUUGUAUGUGGGGUCUGUGCUCCUUGCCUAUGGAUAUAUGUGCAAUUUUUGUAUGUAUUUUUUAGCUGUGGAUUGCAGUGUUUAUUUGCAACUUCACCUGAAACAAAAUCUAUAGAAAUCCUCCCCUUCUUCCCUUAGCACAUAUUUGCGCUAAGAGACAAAUGUUCCUUCCAUGGGGGUAUGUGAGAGUGUGUGUGCUUGUUUUAUUCAAAACUGUGAGUAUCUGCUUAUUUCAGUCUUGCAGUCCCAGAAGUCUCUUAGACAGUGUAAGUGUCCAUACACGUGUGUGCCUGUGUGUGCACAUGCAUGCUAGAAGUAGAGAGAGGCCAGGCCUCUGGAGAGCAACCUGUGUGUACCCUCAUCUACUAGUGAAGGGUUUCUUAAAACAAGGACUGGCUGUGCAGUAUUAUUUAGGUAGCACAUUAGUGGCCUUUUGAAAUUUCUUAGUUUGUAAUAUUUUUAACAGCCUUUCAUGUGAUUCAUCUAUAUCAAAGAGGAUCAAGAACAGAAAAGAAUAUAUUUUAUUGUGCUUUUUUUUAGAAUGGGACAUGUGAAGCUCCAUUUGGAGGCUACUCCUGUCCUCCUGGCCAGCAGUACAGGACUCCCAAAGGAGAGAGCUGGGUGGCGUGCAAAGAGUAUUGCCUCCUCUAGCCAGAGUGCAGGGCUCUGCCCCUAGGAGUGGCCACAGAGUGGGCGUGCCGCUGCAGGCCAGCAGUACACGCUCUCAGUAUCCUGUGACAUGGCUGUGCCUUGCCUAACAGACUGGGGUUUGGUUCACCUUAACACAGCCCAUGUGCACAUAACUCCUUGCUAACUAUACACUGAAGUACCAGUACACAAACCACUGACCAUGUCAACCAGCACAUUCCCUUACUAGCCUCCCUACCCUCCACCCCCAUUCCCUGAUGCUUUGCAUAUUGAGACACUUUUUCACUGUCACUCUUGUGCCUUGCCCAUGUACAUUUGAAUGUUGGCUAUUUAAUAAGGUUUCAUAUUUAACUGAGAAAGUUUCCUGGUUCCUCUGUUCUGUAGGUAUUCUUUUUUUUUUUCUGUUUUGACUUGGAUCCAGUCUUCCACAUUAACUCUAUAAUACUAGAAGCAUGUACGCCUUCUACCACCAUUAUAUUAUAGCACUGGUAAACCAAGCACCCCUUUAUAUCAGAUAAGUUUAGUACUGUUUUUAUAUUCAAAUUUGGUAAGGGCAAAAGAUAAAUGCCAACUAUUGUAGAAGGGCCUCAGAGACAGGGGGCUGCAUUAAUUUUUCUCUGAGUGAUGGCUAAAGAAUGUGAGGGAGAAGGGAAGGUGGUAUUACAGGUUAGAGCCAAAUAGACUAAGUAACUUAUGUCUGGGCAAGAAGUAAUCAACAUUUGGUCCUCAGAAUCUUUCCAAAAUAAUGAAAUUUUGAAAUUUAGUUGAUCUAAUAUUAUUGCAAAAAUAUCUAUUUUUGCAUUUCUAUUUUAAUUGUAAUAGGAACUUUGAAUUCAUCAACUGAAAAGAAACCCUAUCCUCAGACACAGACAGACAGGCAUGCAUGUAUAUAUAUGAGUUUUAGGCUGUGACUAGGAUAGCACUUUAAGUUUUCUCAAGUAACUUCAAGUACUGUCUUUAAUAUUGAUUGGAAAUUUUAUUCUUUUUUAUUAAAGUCUAUACUAUAGUUUCUUCCAUUUAUUUUGAGAGCUCAAACAAGCCACUACUGAAACUUUUCCUUAAACAACAUGAGCAAGAACAAUCUCUCUGACACAUCUGGAUGCUGGAGAAACAGGACAAUGGCUGGAAUAGCCAAGACCAAGACUGAAUAUUUUAUGAGCAAUGAUCUGAAGAAAUACAGACUUGUGCCAGAAGGUGAGAUGGACUUAUGUUACUACACUACAUUUCAAAUGAUUCUAUAUGUAUAAAUAAAGUUUGACUAUACUUGGAGAGGGGAGAGAGGAACUUGACUCCAUAAGCCAACUCUGACGUAUUUUUAUUUUCCCUAGUUGAUAAGGAUUGAAAUUUCUAAUCUAGCCCAAUGAGUGAACAGGAUGGCUGCCCACGAAACCGGGUUAUUAGAUUUACCUCAUUGAAGCUCAUAUUCUCAAAGACCCAAAGUGCUGUGAUGAGACAAAUUCAAGUGCUGCUUUUGCUGAAGUGUGCACUGAAGUCCAGCUGUCCAUACUUAAUGGCAAUGUGAAAAGCGGAGAUUCCAUAAAUGAUGCCAUAAGGGAAGCAGAAGAGCUGCAGUGCAAGAGCAUAGAUACAAAUUGUACCAAAGAAAGCAAGCCUUUUGUCUUGAUGCGUCUAAAGUGAUGUUGUGACAGAUGCCAUGGGAGGAGAAUUUACAUAUAUUCCAUGUCAAGGUAUUUGGUCAAUAAAAUAAUUCAG
Molecule: RNA transcript, 9456 nt
Organism: Molossus molossus (Pallas's mastiff bat)
Lineage: Eukaryota; Metazoa; Chordata; Mammalia; Chiroptera; Molossidae
Gene: PEAK1
Gene name: pseudopodium enriched atypical kinase 1
Exons: 10
Source: RefSeq, a predicted model, not a curated record